AAAAAAGGCUCUGUCAUGAGUGGCACCCGCAGAGGGACUUGGUCGAGCUACAGGCAGAAUCGACAUCAAGAGAUUUGGGGAGCAUACUUUUUUGGUACCUGGGUGGCUAGUGAUCGUUGGUCCUGGCACCUGC
Small nuclear RNA from Molossus molossus (Pallas's mastiff bat), 133 nucleotides. RefSeq annotates it as U11 spliceosomal RNA. The transcript has a single exon. Lineage: Eukaryota; Metazoa; Chordata; Mammalia; Chiroptera; Molossidae. The record is from RefSeq and is a predicted model, not a curated record.